UCCCCUCCCCACACUGGCCUCCAACUGGCAUGCAGCGCACUUCCAAGAAAGAGGCACCAGCAUUGGGGCCUGAGCAAGGGGCGGAAAGAGGUGUCAAAGCAAGCUCAAUCACAGGCCCAGCGUGGGGGAAUUAAAAUACAGCAGACGGUAAGAAAGAAGCAUCCUAUCUUAGUAAAAACAACAUAGGGGAGCCUGAGUCGUGGGCCAAAGCAGCUUCCCUUGUCUCUUUUCACCCCUGGAUUGAGAGAGCACCAUCCAGUGUUAACCCUCAGUGACCUCAAUUUGCCCCUCUCGGUAAUGCCUCCCUACGCUUUGUACUCUAAUCAUGACUUUCUAUUUUCUGCGCUCCCUUCCCUGCAUCGGAUGACGUGUGCCCUCUGCUUACGAAAGCUCACGCUAUACAUCUCUGAUUUGGUUGAUAACGUGCAAAUAUAUCCCGCUUUCUGUCUCAAUUUGAAAAUCAGCACUAGGAGCACAGAGGUAAGGCAAGCCGUGAGCAGACUGGUUACUCUUCUACCACUGGUUGAAAUAAAAAUCUCCUGUCAAGGGGUGGUCCGGGUAGAAAUCUUCAUGCAGAUUGAUUCCUUCCUUGGUCUGUCCCCAGGGAUUGUUACACUUAAGGGUCUUUCUUCACCCGUACUUGACUUCAAAGAGAUAUUCAACAGCCAAGAGCAUGAGGCCACCUUAACCUGUGGGUGGUGGAUACUUGAGAAGAAUCCAGGGUUUCGGGCAGUUCAGUAAUGGGAAGAAGAGAGCAGUGAAGGCACUGGUGAUCAGACGUCACCUUUCUCUACUGAUAUUGGGCAUCCCCACAUAUGCUGCUGUCACUUUGUCCAGUCAUCCAUCUCACUGGCCACUUGUCAGAGCCGGAGGACCACACCUAACUGGCUAAAGAAGGAGACUGCUGAAAAACAGACCCAGUUAGGAAUGUAGGAAAAGGUUGUAAUAUUGAUUCAGAUCAUUGCUCCACCCUGUCUGCUUGCCUACCUCUGCCAGUGGGCCGUACCUGGCGUUUCUGAGGGCCACAGUCCUUUCAUAAUGCACCUUAUUAUUAGUGCAGUAUUAGAGGCAAGAGAAGCAAUAUUGCUUCCCCCGCCUUCCCUCCCCAGUUCUCUUGCUGCUGCUGUUACUGCACAUUGAACGUAUUCUCUUCAACUGGGAAAUGUUUUCUUUUUCCACAAGAUGUUUCACCCAGAAUGCACUCCAGCUCUGCAAGAGGUUUCUAGUGAAACAAUGAACACAUUAAGACAGGGCUGACAGUAAAUGACAGCGGGGCGUUCUGUCAAAAUACCACUCCAAGAGAAACGGAGCCGUGGCCAAGAGGGUCUGAGCUCCGUGGCAGAAAGCAGCGGAGCCAUAAGCAAUCGUGCCAGUCAGCUUCGCACGUGGAGUGCAGCUCUGCCUCCUUCCAUCCCUCGUAUAUAUGCAGUUUCUAUUAUCCUCGAUUCUUUAGCUUUGAUUUUCUUCUUGACCCGCAGCCAGUGGCGAGAGAGGCAAGAAGUUAGGUAAGAGUGAGUGAGUGACAGGAACAAACAAGCUGUUUGUACUGGCAAGACGCUUUAGCAGGGGACCCUCCUGGGUGGCUAAGAUCAUAGCUGGGAUGAGUUUGGAGGUCUCGGUGGAGUUCCUAAAUGCGAGUCAGAAACCUGCACAAAAAGCACAGCUGACAAUCUUGGGGGUUCUGUCCGUUUCCUAAAAAUAUAAGGAAAUAAUGACUUGGCUCUUCGCUUCCUAAAUCCUUUUAGGCUGGAAUCCACAGCAUAUUUCCCUCCAAGUAAAACACCCCUAAGUCCAACAUUUUUACAUAACAAAAAGGCACGCUGAGCUGGAAGCUCUCCCCAGUGCCUCAAGUGAGACACGACAUGGAUGGAAAAUGUAAAGUAAAAAUCGCGCCGGGUUUUUGUGGAGCAUUUGCACCUGUCACAUUUUGAGACUGCAUUAUGAGCGUGCGCUCUGGUUUUUCAAUGUAUAUACCAUUGGAGCUGUAAGUUUGGAGGAUGAUUUGAGGCCUUGGAAAAUGUGAUGCAACGCUUGAAGUUUUUUUCUCCACCAAAGUAGUUUAGUUUUUUUCAUCCACAGGAAAAGCAAAUCUGCAGAAAUAGUGUUAUUGUGACCGUUUGCUGGGUCUGUGAUUCUGGGGGAGGAAACCAAAAGCUACCCAGGCAGAGGCAGGUUUAAGCCUCUUGCAUUUGUCUGUUUAACCGUUCGUUCAGGUGUGCAACCAUCCUCCAGCACCCAUGCUAAAGCAGAGAAGAGAGACUAAGAAGCGCUAUCCUUAACAAAAUACCUUUGUUUGGGGAGGAAGGCAUGCUGAGCUUUUUAACGUUCCUCAAAGUAGGGGAUCCACAUUUCUGCAUUCUUUGCUGUGAGUUUGCUUUGGGUGUUAGGGGGAGCGGUUAAAGUCUGAGUAACCAGGGAUCACCAAAAGCAAAACAUCAGUAUUUACGUAUAGCAGAGAGAUGCUAUAGAUUGUAAACCCAGCACAGACCCCUUACGUGAAUAUGCACUCGCACAGCAUUUCAUACCAAGUGCCCUGUAUCUCUGAAGAAAAACAGGCUUUGCAAUUUCUACAGUUCCACUUUGGUUUUAGUUACCUUCCACCGCCACCCCCAGUUCAACUCCACGUCCCUCCCGGAGAGUGGGCAGACAAACUCUGUUUAUCCAUGUUGGGAACAAGCUAUUUCUUGGAGGCACGGAGUUGCUAGUGGUAAAGGUUAUUUAACCACAGUGCUUUCUACAAUUUCUCCUCCUUGUUUUUUCCCUUUCGGUCUGUAACAGUAAAACGUGUGGCGAGUCCAGACUUUCAAGAGAUGAAACUAAACAUCUGACUCCCUUGUAGCAAAAGGGGCCCUCAAGAGGUAGAGCUCCUCGGCACUCAGCACAGAGAGCUCCUCUGUCAUUCCCAGGGGAUCACUCUUGUUUCACAGCAACCCCUGAAGAAUUUCCAAGGCUUUUAACUAGAGAAUCCCGAGUCUAAUAUCCGCCAAUCUCCUUGGCUGCCCCAAGAAAGCCUCUCAUUAUUGGUGUUUGGUGACUGCAAAUGCAUCUCCCCUCCCCCAAGCCCAAAUGUUCCUUUCUGGAUAAGCAAUGGGAAGAGACCGAGUCACUGAUAAAGCCUAGACUUUGCACAAGACCCCACCAUUCAGCAUCUAUUAUUUCACUUCCACCGCCGUCCUUGAGGUAUGGAGUAGCUGAGAUGUGGGUCUGUUUCCACCUCCUGUUUCACUGAUUCAGUCGGUUUGAUUUCAGCUUCAGGCAGGCAAUAAGGUUUAACUCGUAAUGUCCAUAUUUCCUAGUGCCAAUUUCAACAUACACUUUGCCCAGCUUCUGCCCCAAGUGGUGCAGGCUCCGCGGUUCCCCUGCAGGGCAAUGCUCUGACCUAAGUUAUCUGUACAUUCCUGAGCAGGAGAAAUGCGAAGUCUGACAUACAGCUUUGGCAGCUUUCCCUUGCUGUCCAGCCUGUCCCAAAUACAGCCCCUGCAAUGACCUUCCUCCCCCAUUAAUCUGACUUUGUCACUCUCCCAUUGUCGGGGACAUUGAAUCAAGUUCAGCUUUCAUGAUCCCGAUCUGGGAGCAGUUCUUCAAAUGCCCUAGGUGUGUCAUGACAGAGAGUCAGGCCCCUUUAUCAUCUCUGUACCUCCUAGACUGCGAGCUCUUCAGGACGGCGACUGUUAUAUUGCUUUCUCGUGCAGUUCCCAGCAUAGUUGAGAUAUAACUCAUAACAAUCAGAUGCUGGUAGACAAGAGUUGCCAUCAUCCCUACCUCCCCACCCAGAGCUGUUGAAAAAUUCACCAAAUCAGACCUGUAACAUGUAGAGCAUUUUAUAAGUUAAACAAGACUGCUGUCUUCCUUAGCACUUUCCCUUUGUGGGGAGGUAUUAUUUUACCGCUCUUGGAGCCUGAUUACAGCACCAUUGCUAUAGAAUUUGUACUUGGCUUGGGAAAGCUAAUCAAUCUUCGCUGCUCAGAGUGGCCAGCAGCUUUUUUCCCCCAUCCUUUCUUUUCCCUCUUGGCUCCCAUUCUAAAGUAGACUUGCUUUGAUAGAUGAAUUAUUAAUUCUUUUAUGGCUACAAAGAAGUCGUUAUUUAUAUGACAAGGUCUGACUUGUUUUUUAGAGGAAAAACAGCCAUAACAAUUAUGCAUAUGUAAAUAAAUGAAUAAACUGAUUCUCAAACAGAUUCUGUUAAAGGCAGUUGCCUUCCAUCUGUCUGGAGAGGAAAUAUUUCCAGUUAAAAGAAAUGGAGCGUUCUGUCUAAGGCAAACACUGUUGACAAGAUGGUAACUUUUGUUGCUGGUAUAAUUCAUAUUUAAUGAGCCCUUGUCCUUUUGCUUUUCCAAAAUUAUAUUUAAAUGCAAAGCAUAGUAAGAAUGAAUAAGCUACAAGCUGGGUGCAUAGAAUAGCAAAGCCGUAAAAAAAAAAAAAAAAAAAAAAGGCUGCUCAGGCCCUAGCAUUCCCUGAAUCUGGCCUAACUCAGGUAUGGGAUGACUGAGAAACAAAGCAUUCCUCAGAUAUUUAGCACCUGAACAACACCCCCAGCCAUGCCCUGCCUGCCUGAGCUGCCUUUUGCAUUCCUGCAGGUCCCUCCCCUUCACACCCAGUGCAAUCCUGUGCAGGGGAGGCAUGGGACCUCCGAGUGCUUCCUGCACUUGUGGACACCCCCAGACAGCCAGUCAAACUGCAUGGUUGGUCCAGUUCUGCAGACCCAUGCCAGCACUCCCUGCAUGUUUUCCCCUAAGCUGCGGGGGUAAUGGAGGCCAAACACGUACAAAGCACUUUGCGUGAAAGAGGCAGUGCGAGUUUUGCCUUUGAUUCCUCCUGAGUUUGGCAGCUUGCCCUGCAUUUCCCAAUUACAUGUACAGUCGUUUAAUGAAGCCCUUUUGUAUUGCAGAAGUGCAGUGGGGUGGGAAAGGGGAGGGAUGGAGGGGAGGGCCUCAUUGUCUUUUGAAGGAUUAAGUAAAGAAAUAUUUAAGGGCAUCGAGUUUGCUUUGUGUGGUUUCCUUUGCUCCAGUGGUAGAAAACACAGAUGUCAGUGCUGUGCAUGACACAGAUAGUCCGAGUGUGUCUCUGAUGUAAUCGGGCUGAAUAAACAGCCCUGUUUUUCCUUUUACACCAGGGUGUUUUCUGUCCUCAGCAUUUUCAUAUGUUUAUGGAGCUGAGUCUAAUCUGAUAGACUAUUUCUGGAUCAUCAGAAGAAAUGCUGAUUUCAAUACAGAUGAGUUGACAGCCACGCCAAGCCAUGCUCAGUUCAGAGGGUAGAUUUAGGUAAAUGUUAAUGAAACUAAGGGGCCAGAGAUGUUUCUUGGCUUGGAGGACAAGUCUGUUUCAUGGCACUGCCUUGCUUUCUCCAGGACUCUCAACAGCACCCUCUGUAUUACAUUUGACCCUUCGAUCAUCCCUUGUAUUGGGACUUUUGCAAGGGGAUAGCCAAGGAAUGAGGAAGUGUAGCAUUAAAAGGGCAUUAUCACUAAAAACUUGAAAAACCACUCUGGAUAAUUUUACCAGGACAGGAAUUUUCUUUUGCUUUUUCUGAAGAUAAUUGUUUUUUAAUAAGAGAUUUCUCCAUUGCUGCAUAAGAGCUGCAGAGGGCGACUCCCAGCUGAGACAAGCCCCAAAAAAGUCUUGCCAAUAAGCCUGAGAGCUCAAGACAGCUUCUAAUGGCUCAGCCCAAGGAAGUUGAUUCUCAAAGCAGAACCAUUCAAUGCAUCUCUUUCCUGUUCAGCAGGAGAAACAAGACCCCCAGCUGAGCGUGUGCUCGGGAGGAGUUGACUUCCAGCUUAUUAUAGAUCCCACCAGUUCAGGCCACAGAAAGCUCCCUUUUGUUUGCUCCAUGCAGCUGCUCUUUAAGCACCCCCACAAGGAUCCCUCAUUUGAGUCUUGGCUGUCACAACACAAAGGACUUGACACCACAAGUCCUUUUAGGAUGUACAAAGUUGUUGUGGUCCGACGAUGUCAGUAGAUGCUGUAUAUGAGUUCAGGUAAGGAAAAGUGCUAAGGAUGCCUCUGAGGAAGGAAGUCCCAAAGCUCUUAACAGGCCCACUCCUGCAUUCUCAUGGGGGACAUAGGAAAUAAGAGGCAGGAGGUGGGUAGAGAUUGGUUUUCAUUUCUCUUAAGGGUAAUUGAUGCACUCAAGCUGCACACUCCCCUCUUUAAGACCCUACUCAUGUUCAGGCACAACUUGGCAGACACCCAGCAGCACUCUUAUUGCUGUAGCGCUAAGGUACUCUGUCUUCCCUGUCCUGCCCAUCAUUUUUACCUUGCUCAUGUACAUGCAUUAGUCUGCAUCUGCAGAGUGAAGGCUCAAGCCUGCACAGAAUGGAGCUUCGGAGUUGGAUAGGGGACUCUGCUGAUGGGUAAAACCUCCUAAAGGGUCUGUCCAACAUCUGACACCUUAUCACUCUCAGCUUCUCCCUCUACCCAAUGCCUGAACCCCUUGCUGUAGUUAUGUUCCUACACACCCAGGACUCAAGAUGAUGUGAAAAACUCCUCCUAUCAUCCUUUGGGUCAAGCAAGAAGCGCGGGAGGUGGCUCAUGGAAGAGGAAGCCUGCUUGAGCUUGGGUUCAGAUUGACUCAUAUCUCCACAGCUGAGUGAAAGGAUUACAAAAUGGGGAAGGAGGUUAUACUUGAUCCGUCUGACAGAUUUCCCUAGGAUCAAACCAUUACAAAAGUAUUUGCUCCCUGUACCUUUCAGCCAAGUGAUGCCUAUGCCUCUUUCACCUUCAAAGCAGCCGACUGGUAGUGCUGUAACGCCAGCCUGGGUGGCACAGUUUCCAAUAAAUGGUGACUCACUAUCGUUGCAUCAACCACAACGUUUCCAGUGUGCCAACGCUUUUGGAAGUGGAAUAUCUGAGGCUGAUGUUCGAGUCUGGCCAAGGUCAUUCCUUGGUGUAGGUCACUUAGCACAAUGCAAGCUUGAGCCAAAGGUGGACAGGCAGUUUGGUAAUCUUGUGGCUGGAUGGCUACCUAGAUCAUGGUGCCACCCUUUUAUUCCUCAGUGAGACUCAAAGGAAACUGAAGAAAGUGGAUGAUGCCAUUGUUUCACCUGAGCUUUAGACCUCAGGCUGCAUCUGUUGCUAGGGUCUCAGUGCAAGAGAUAUGGUAUGAAAUGAGUUUGGUCAUACAGGUCAUGUUGCAUGUGACUUGCAAACAAGGGCGGCAAGUUCAUCUAGUAGGAGGGCUCAAGCUGGGUCAGCUGUUCAUUGUGACCUUAGGUCAUGUGGGAGUUUGAAGCUGGAAAAUCCAUUAUGUGAACCGCUAUGAGGGGUUUUUUUCAGAUGAAAAUAGGUGUAUGUCACUUUAAAGAUUCAGCUGGCAGCUGGGUAUUCAUCCUUUGGAUGCAUUUCACUGUUACGGUUCAUUAUGAGGCAUGAUUAGUGAUGCGACCGAGUGACAAAGCGACGAUCCUGCCAAUAGAAAUGAAAAGCUGGACUCGCUAAGACAGUGUCUUUGACAUCCUUCUGUUAGGACUUUCUCAAGCUGAAAGGAAGUGGCCAGCUGCCAGUUCGAUGAAUGGGACAGGUGAACCAGCCCGUAGGUCUCCAGAACUGGGCUCUGGGACCUCUAAAUUUCUCCACUGGGGAAAUGAAUGUUGCACGAGCUACAUCCAGACCCAGGGGGCAGCUGGAAAUGGAAGAGGAGCAGGGAUGCUGACUUGCUGGUGGUUUAGUAUUUUACGAGGUGUGUGUGUUUAACACGGAUUUCCUUCCACUGUGUUGAAGACUCAACAGGCUUUUAAAGGUGCUAGAAAGACCUUUUGUAAUAAGUGUUAUUAUGAAGCAUUGGGAAAGCAUAUAACAGUGGGUCACUGGCCUCCAGGCUCACCGUGCAUGGUCAUCUAGAGUUAAUCUGGUAGCCUGUUGUGAAGACAGAGAGGGGAACUGUUUCUUGCUCUUAGCGUUUCUCUAGUGCCAUGGUUCUCAACCUUUUUAGACUCAAAAACUUCAGACUGUAACGGCACCCCAUUAACAAGCUAAUAUAAAUAUAGCAUAAAUAUUAUAAUAUCAAC
Long non-coding RNA from Alligator mississippiensis (American alligator), 8003 nucleotides. RefSeq lists it as uncharacterized. Lineage: Eukaryota; Metazoa; Chordata; Crocodylia; Alligatoridae. The transcript has 2 exons. The record is from RefSeq and is a predicted model, not a curated record.